RNAcentral lists this ribosomal RNA (429 nucleotides) under Pseudomonadota bacterium. Its description in RNAcentral is "Proteobacteria bacterium partial 16S ribosomal RNA". It matches the Rfam family "Bacterial small subunit ribosomal RNA", at positions 355 to 776 of the family's 1533-position model. Lineage: Bacteria; Pseudomonadati; Pseudomonadota. The record is from RNAcentral.
UGGGGAAUAUUGGACAAUGGGCGAAAGCCUGAUCCAGCCAUGCCGCGUGUGUGAAGAAGGUCUUCGGAUUGUAAAGCACUUUAAGUUGGGAGGAAGGGCAGUAAGCGAAUACCUUGCUGUUUUGACGUUACCGACAGAAUAAGCACCGGCUAACUCUGUGCCAGCAGCCGCGGUAAUACAGAGGGGGCAAGCGUUAAUCGGAAUUACUGGGCGUAAAGCGCGCGUAGGUGGUUCGUUAAGUUGAAUGUGAAAGCCCCGGGCUCAACCUGAGAACUGCAUCCAAAACUGGCGAGCUAGCGUAGGGCAGAGGGUGGUGGAAUUUCCUGUGUAGCGGUGCAAUGCGUAGAUAUAGGAAGGAACACCAGUGGCGAAGGCGACCACCUGGGCUCAUACUGACACUGAGGUGCGAAAGCGUGGGGAGCAAACAGG